RNAcentral lists this ribosomal RNA (836 nucleotides) under uncultured bacterium. RNAcentral's name for it is "bacterial SSU rRNA". It matches the Rfam family "Bacterial small subunit ribosomal RNA", at positions 21 to 873 of the family's 1533-position model. The record is from RNAcentral.
GGCUCAGGACGAACGCGGGCGGCGUGCUUAACACNUGCAAGUCGAACGGAAAGGCCCGCUUGCGGGUACUCGAGUGGCGAACGGGUGAGUAACACGUGGGUAACCUGCCCCCUGCUUCGGGAUAACUCCGGGAAACCGGGGCUAAUACCGGAUAUUCAUUGCCUGCCGCAUGGUGGGUGGUGGAAAGUUUUUUCGGCUGGGGAUGGGCCCGCGGCCUAUCAGCUUGUUGGUGGGGUGAUGGCCUACCAAGGCUUCGACGGGUAGCCGGCCUGAGAGGGCGACCGGCCACACUGGGAUUGAGACACGGCCCAGACUCCUACGGGAGGCAGCAGUGGGGAAUAUUGCGCAAUGGGCGGAAGCCUGACGCAGCGACGCCGCGUGAGGGAUGACGGCCUUCGGGUUGUAAACCUCUUUCAGCAGGGACGAAUGUAGACGGUACCUGUAGAAGAAGCACCGGCCAACUACGUGCCAGCAGCCGCGGUAAUACGUAGGGUGCGAGCGUUGUCCGGAAUUAUUGGGCGUAAAGAGCUCGUAGGCGGUCUGUCGCGUCGAAUGUGAAAACCCGGGGCUCAACUCCGGGCUUGCAUUUGAUACGGGCAGGCUAGAGUUCGGUAGGGGAGUCUGGAAUUCCUGGUGUAGCGGUGAAAUGCGCAGAUAUCAGGAGGAACACCGGUGGCGAAGGCGGGACUCUGGGCCGAUACUGACGCUGAGGAGCGAAAGCGUGGGGAGCGAACAGGAUUAGAUACCCUGGUAGUCCACGCCGUAAACGUUGGGCGCUAGGUGUGGGGGUCCUUCCACGAUCUCCGUGCCGCAGCUAACGCAUUAAGCGCCCCGCC